RNAcentral lists this long non-coding RNA (1112 nucleotides) under Rattus norvegicus (Norway rat). RNAcentral describes it as "long non-coding RNA NONRATT011434". Lineage: Eukaryota; Metazoa; Chordata; Mammalia; Rodentia; Muridae. The record is from RNAcentral.
UCGCGGAUCCUGAAAGUAUGGCGGCGUCGAAGGUGAAGCAGGACAUGCCCCCACCAGGGGGCUACGGCCCCAUCGACUACAAGCGGAACCUGCCCCGCCGGGGACUGUCGGGUCAGUGUCUAGGUGUCGACCUGUUCGUCGCAGACCAGGCUUCUUUUAUGCGGUUAGGCGAGAGAGGGGAGCCUGCGGGCUUCAGAGCUCACGAUGUGAGGGGAGGCAGAGUUUGAGUCUUGGUUCUCUAGUGCAGCUUCCCAGAAGCCUGACUGUUCACGUCCCCUGUUUUCUAAUUGGCUUCCACGGGCUGGGAAACUAAGCCUGCGAGAAGCGCUAACCCGGAAUUAGGCGUUUUUGUUUGUUUUAGGCUGGUCUCAAACUCUGUAGCAGAGGAUGACCUAGAACUCCUGAUCUCUUGCCUUCACUUUCGAAAGCUACGCUGAUAGGUAUGCACCGUUAUACUUUAAAAAAAAAUUUUUUUUUUUUUAGAUUUUGCAGAUAGGGACUUACUAUAUAGCCCAGGCUGGCCUCAAACUCGUGGCAAUCCCGCAUCUGCCAAUGGAUUGCUGGGAUGACAGACAGACCCACCCGAGGCAGGAUGUGUGUUGAUUAUAACGUAGCAUAGAAGCCAGGCUAGUCUUAAAUUCUAGCCUCCCUAGGGCUGGUUCCUCUUCGGACAUUUUCUGCCCGCCCCUACAGAGUUUUAUGGAGCCCAGGCCAGCCUUCACCCCAGCUCUCUGCCUUCAUAGUGCCAGGAUGACAGGCAUGUGCCCACCAUACUAGGCUGUGUUUUUAAGUUUUCUUAAAGGUAUUUUAAGUAACAUUUACAAUUUUAUUAUCGACUUCAAUAGGAAAAGAAUAUGAAGAGAGUUAAGGUCCCCACUCUCAAUGCUCAGAGUUACAGAAAUACAGUAGUUAGAGACUGGGGCCCAAUUAGAGUGCCUGCCUAGCAUUUCAAAACCCUAGGUCAAACCCCCAGCACUGCAUAAACAGGACUUGGUGAUGCACACCCAUCAUCUCAGCAUUUUGGAUGCUGAAACAGUGGGGAUCGAUGGUUUAGGAUCAUCCUGGGCUACGUGGAUCAACCUGAACUACAUGAUGCCAUCUCACCCUAGGAA